Non-coding RNA from Trichonephila inaurata madagascariensis, 73 nucleotides. The record is from the annotation of a GenBank genome assembly. NCBI's taxonomy places the organism in Eukaryota, Metazoa, Arthropoda, Arachnida, Araneae, Nephilidae.
GUCCCUGUAGCGCAGUGGACAGCACGUUGGAUUUCUAAUUCGAAGGUCUUGGGUUCGAACCCCACCUGGGAUG